Non-coding RNA from Zootermopsis nevadensis, 73 nucleotides. The record is from Rfam. Lineage: Eukaryota; Metazoa; Arthropoda; Insecta; Blattodea; Termopsidae.
GCCACAGUGGUCUAGCGGUUAGAACGCUGGCCUUGUAAUCCUGGGGUCUCGGGUUCGAUUCCCGGCGGUGCCC